CCUACGGGUGGCAGCAGUGGGGAAUAUUGGACAAUGGGGGCAACCCUGAUCCAGCCAUGCCGCGUGUGUGAAGAAGGCCCUCGGGUUGUAAAGCACUUUCAGUGAGGAAGAACGCCUGGUGGUUAAUACCCAUCAGGAAAGACAUCACUCACAGAAGAAGCACCGGCUAACUCCGUGCCAGCAGCCGCGGUAAUACGGAGGGUGCGAGCGUUAGUCGGAAUUACUGGGCGUAAAGCGCGCGUAGGUGGCUUGAUAAGCCGGUUGUGAAAGCCCCGGGCUCAACCUGGGAACGGCAUCCGGAACUGUCAAGCUAGAGUGCAGGAGAGGAAGGUAGAAUUCCCGGUGUAGCGGUGAAAUGCGUAGAGAUCGGGAGGAAUACCAGUGGCGAAGGCGGCCUUCUGGACUGACACUGACACUGAGGUGCGAAAGCGUGGGUAGCAAACAGGAUUAGAUACCCUUGUAGUC
This 465-nucleotide ribosomal RNA is filed under the name Vreelandella stevensii. RNAcentral describes it as "partial 16S ribosomal RNA". It matches the Rfam family "Bacterial small subunit ribosomal RNA", at positions 338 to 795 of the family's 1533-position model. Lineage: Bacteria; Pseudomonadati; Pseudomonadota; Gammaproteobacteria; Oceanospirillales; Halomonadaceae. The record is from RNAcentral.